GCAGCCGCGGUAAUUCCAGCUCCAAUAGCGUAUAUUAAAGUUGUUGCAGUUAAAAAGCUCGUAGUUGAAUUUCGGGAUUAGUACGCUGGUCGUGCCUUCGGUACGUACUGGUGUUACUGAUUUCUACCUUCUGACGAACUAUCAUGUCAUUAAUUUGGUGUGGUAGGGAAUCAGGACUGUUACUUUGAAAAAAUUAGAGUGUUUAAAGCAGGCUCGCGCUUGAAUACAUUAGCAUGGAAUAAUGAAAUAGGACGUUGAUCCUAUUUUGUUGGUUUCUAGGAUUGACGUAAUGAUUAAUAGGGAUAGUUGGG
This 311-nucleotide ribosomal RNA is filed under the name uncultured Glomus. RNAcentral's name for it is "SSU rRNA". It matches the Rfam family "Eukaryotic small subunit ribosomal RNA", at positions 570 to 886 of the family's 1831-position model. Lineage: Eukaryota; Fungi; Glomeromycota; Glomeromycetes; Glomerales; Glomeraceae. The record is from RNAcentral.